GGGAGGUGUGGGCCUCUCUGGGGAGCCCAGCUGGAAUGGCUGUCCGAGGACUGCAGGCUGGAGGCAUGGAUGUCAGAGCUGGCGAGUCUUCCCCAAAGGCCGGGCACAGUGUUCUGGGGCUCCCGCAAUAAUCAGAACAGGCAUCAGGAUCUUUUCCAGUGAGUCAGCUCUUCACAUUAAGUGGCUAAAGUAUUGGAGCUUCAGCUUCAGCAUCAAUCCUUCUAGUGAAUGUUCAGGGUUGAUUUCCUUUAGGAUUGACUAGUUUGAUCUGCUUGCAGUCCAAGGGCUAGAAAGGAGCAAAAACAGAUGUAGCCUCUAGCCUGAUAGAGUUUUCAGUGGAUGGAGAGAAACAUUAAUUUAAAAAAAAAUCAUACAAAUAAAUUUGAAACAACACAUGUAAAAGGAGCUUUGACGGGAAAAAUGUGGAACUACGAGAGCAUUUAAACAGGAGAUUUUAUUUAGAGAGAGCAGGGAAGAGUCUGCAAGGAAGAGAAGUUUGAGCUGAGAUCUGAAGGGAGAGGAGGAAAUGAGUGAAUAAAGAUGGAAGCAAAGAGUAGGGUUUAAUCCCUUGGCCAGGAAGUUCCCCUGGAGGAGGGCGUGGAAACACCUUCCAGUAUUCUUGCCUGGAAAAUCCCAUGGACAGAGGAGUCUGGUGGGCUACCGUCCAUGGUGUCCUGAUGAGUCGGAUACAACUGAAGCAACUGUGCACACAUGCAAAGUGUAUUCCAGGGUGUGUGCCUGGGGGAAACAGUAGGUGUGAAGGCCCUGGGGAGAGAGGAGGUAUUGAUGGAUGGCCAGGGGGCCAGGGCAGAGAACCAUGUCAGGAGGGACAACUUGGAAGAGCUGGGAAGCACGCACAAGCAGUCUGAUCUGGACCAGGCAGCACGUUUGGAUGAGAAGGGAAGACCAAGGCUGUGAUUCUAAAGUAGAGACAAGGCUAAAGCUUGGCUAAAGCGACUUCCCUGCUGGUCCAGCGGUGACGAAUCCACCUGCCAAUGCAGGGGAUACGAGUUCGAUCCCUGGUCCAGGAAGAUUGCCCAGGGGCAACUAAGCCCGUGCACCACAGUGACUGAAACCUGCGUGCCUAGGGCCUGUGCUCCGAAACACGAGGAGCCACCGCCCCGAGAAGCCGGCACACCCCAGCUAGAGAGGAGUCCCUACUCACCGCAGCUGGAAAGAAGGCCGAGUGCAGCAACCAACGCCUUGUGCAGCCAGAAAUAAUAAAUAAAGAAAUAAAAAAUUUAAAAACGCUGGCUAUAGGCCCGGAGAGAGAAACAGAAAUGAAAGUAAUAAUAAUAAAAAUCAUAAAUAGAUUGCAGGUCCUUGG
Bos taurus (domestic cattle) is the source of this 1327-nucleotide long non-coding RNA. Lineage: Eukaryota; Metazoa; Chordata; Mammalia; Artiodactyla; Bovidae. The record is from Ensembl.